CUGAAGUCAACCGAGACUACCCGCUGA
RNAcentral lists this ribosomal RNA (27 nucleotides) under Fennellomyces heterothallicus. RNAcentral describes it as "partial 28S ribosomal RNA". The record is from RNAcentral. Lineage: Eukaryota; Fungi; Mucoromycota; Mucoromycetes; Mucorales; Lichtheimiaceae.